GUUUUUUAGUGUCUUGAACGUGGGAUGCAGCAGCAUGCGUCGCAGCCGCCGCGGCAUAGCCUCGCUGCCGUGCACGAGUACGGAAGAGAAAAAUCCUGCGCGCUGGCCUGUCACCACGGUCCGCGCAUGGCAUCCGAGCCACGGAGCGCCAAGAUCGCCCAACAGAAGCCGGCAGCGCGCGAUUCUGCAAAGCCGCAGCUGCCCGACUGGCGAC
This 214-nucleotide small RNA is filed under the name Xanthomonas campestris pv. campestris. RNAcentral's name for it is "ncRNA of unknown function". Lineage: Bacteria; Pseudomonadati; Pseudomonadota; Gammaproteobacteria; Lysobacterales; Lysobacteraceae. The record is from RNAcentral.